AUCAAACACAAAAAACAAACUAAAUUAAAUAUAUAAUUUUAAAUACUCUUAUGGAAAUUGUAAGAUAAUGUCCACAACUGACCAAGAGAAGAACUGGUUGGACAGGAUCAUCACAUUUUGCUAUAAUGUUGUUCAUGGUAACAUUUUUGUGUGUAACUUUCCAUUGGACAUAUGGAAACAACGUUACAGCCAUACCAUGUACGGUUGAAGGGAAGACGUAUCAACAUGGUGAAGCUUUUAAAAUCCAAUACAGUGGCCCCUGUAUAGAAUAUACAUGUAAUAUGGGUGGUUACGGUCCUUCAAAGUUUGAAUGUGAUGAUGGCAAUAAGAAAUGCUACCCUGUAGGAUCUACGAGAACUAUACACCAGUGUAUUCACCAACAAUGUGUAAAAAAUGACAGAGGUGUGGGGUAUAGAACGUUAACUGGAGGUUGUCUAUUUAAUGAUCGAUGUUUAAAAGUAGGAGAAAUUGUAGAAGAUCGGUGUUUUGUGUACCAAUGUAAAGAAAAGGAUACGGGAUCUCAUAUCAGUUAUAGAUUAGAAUUAAUUUCUGAAGGAUGCUACAGUAGACCUUCUAAACCAUAUAACUGUAUACCAGUCAACGCGACUAUCAAGGAAGGAUGCAUUACCAAGAAAUGCGAGAAGAAAAACAAUAUGUAUUCGCUGAAAGUUUUAGAUAAUGAAAGUGGGUGUAAAGAAGGAACUUUAUGUCGUCCCUUAGGAUUAACAUGGACAGAUAAAUGUGAAAAGAAAGUGUGUGUUAAAGAUACGCCAUUACCUGGAUACACUAGACUACAAAUACAAAGAUCUUAUAAACAAUGUGAGGACGUCAGUGGCAUUUGUCAUCCUAUUGGGGCAAAGUUUCUUAAAAUAAUGAAUGGCAAACUAUAUCAGAAUUGUACAUGCUCUUUAGUUUUUAAUGUUAUUUUUUAUACUUGCAACUCCACAUUUAGCACCGUGUAAAUUAGACAAUUGAAUUAAAAGUAGGAAUAUAAAAUUAUACGAAUAAUUUAUAUAUUGAUAUAUAUGUAAAAAUUAGGAAAAUAAACGUUUUAAAUGUAA
Patella vulgata (common limpet) is the source of this 1061-nucleotide long non-coding RNA. RefSeq lists it as uncharacterized. The record is from RefSeq and is a predicted model, not a curated record. The transcript is spliced from 8 exons. Lineage: Eukaryota; Metazoa; Mollusca; Gastropoda; Patellidae.